Molecule: ribosomal RNA, 580 nt
Filed under: Papiliotrema laurentii
Lineage: Eukaryota; Fungi; Basidiomycota; Tremellomycetes; Tremellales; Rhynchogastremaceae
Description: partial large subunit ribosomal RNA
Rfam family: Eukaryotic large subunit ribosomal RNA
Source: RNAcentral
AAACUAACAAGGAUUCCCCUAGUAACGGCGAGUGAACCGGGAAGAGCUCAAAUUUGAAAUCUGGCGUCCUCAGGGCGUCCGAGUUGUAAUCUAUAGAGGCGUUUUCCGUGCCGGACCGUGUCCAAGUUCCUUGGAACAGGAUAUCAAAGAGGGUGACAAUCCCGUACUUGACACGACGACCGGUGCUCUGUGAUACGUCUUCUACGAGUCGAGUUGUUUGGGAAUGCAGCUCAAAAUGGGUGGUGAGUUCCAUCUAAAGCUAAAUAUUGGCGAGAGACCGAUAGCGAACAAGUACCGUGAGGGAAAGAUGAAAAGCACUUUGGAAAGAGAGUUAAACAGUACGUGAAAUUGUUGAAAGGGAAACGAUUGAAGUCAGUCGUGACCGAGAGGCUCAGCCGGUUCUGCCGGUGUAUUCCCCUCGGUCGGGUCAACAUCAGUUUUGUCCGGUGGAUAAGGACGGUAGGAAGGUGGCACCCUCGGGUGUGUUAUAGCCUGCCGUCGCAUACAUCGGGUGAGACUGAGGAACGCAGCUCGCCUUUAUGGCCGGGGUUCGCCCACGUCCGAGCUUAGGAUGUUGACA